CCCAGACCUCCUGAACCCAGACCUCCACUGCCGCUGUACUACUGUGUAGCUGUAGCAACUUCCGUUGUGGCUUUUUGUAAUCGUGUUGUGGCAUGAUGUCAUCUUGUGAAAAUCUGCUCCUGUUUUAGCCCCUCCUACCUGCCUGCUGCCAUUACAGGUGCAGCUCUGACUGAUUCAAGGAAACAGCUUUCUUUUAAAAAAGUCUUUUCUCUGCUUGGGGCGAGUGAGAGUCUGCUUCAUCAACACUUUGGACUCUUUGAAGAAACUGUUGGACUUUUUGACGCUUCUGGAUUUGGAUUUGAAGGUAUCAAGAUGUGACGGCUUCCGAUCAGACAAACACAAACACCAGCAGCGUCUGCCAGUGGCUGCAGGUGAAGGUAGAAAGUCUCUUUGACCACAUCUGGACGGGACUUUAACAGGUGACAACCUGACAGGUGAAAGUGGAUGUGAGUUGAGCAGCAUGAGUCAGUGUGAGGACAGAGAGGAGGGAGUCCCU
Molecule: long non-coding RNA, 496 nt
Organism: Micropterus salmoides (largemouth bass)
Lineage: Eukaryota; Metazoa; Chordata; Actinopteri; Centrarchiformes; Centrarchidae
Exons: 3
Source: RefSeq, a predicted model, not a curated record